Molecule: ribosomal RNA, 477 nt
Filed under: uncultured bacterium
Lineage: Bacteria
Description: partial 16S ribosomal RNA
Rfam family: Bacterial small subunit ribosomal RNA
Source: RNAcentral
GAUGAACGCUGGCGGCGUGCUUAACACAUGCAAGUCGAACGAGAAGUGGAGACGGAACCCUUCGGGCGGAAGACUUUAUUUCGAGUGGCGGACGGGUGAGUAACGCGUGGGUAACCUGCCUCAUACAGGGGGAUAACAGUUGGAAACGACUGUUAAUACCGCAUAAGACCACAGCACCGCAUGGUGCGGGGGUAAAACUCCGGUGGUAUGAGAUGGACCCGCGUUCGAUUAGCCAGUUGGCGGGGUAACGGCCCACCAAAGCGACGAUCGAUAGCCGAUCUGAGAGGAUGACCGGCCACAUUGGGACUGAGACACGGCCCAAACUCCUACGGGAGGCAGCAGUGGGGAAUAUUGCACAAUGGGGGAAACCCUGAUGCAGCGACGCCGCGUGAGUGAAGAAGUAUUUCGGUAUGUAAAGCUCUAUCAGCAGGGAAGAAAAUGACGGUACCUGAGUAAGAAGCCCCGGCUAACUACGUG